UUUCACGUGUCUGCACAUCAUGAGUGGGGUGGGACUGAUGUCACUCCUCCACCUCCUACCCAGUCUUUUCCUUUGACCUCCUCUUUCUCUGUCCAUGACCCCUCUCCAUCACAGCUUCUCUAACUGCAACUAUUUGUACCUACACUUUCUCACUCAAUGGCAUGGAAAUGAGACUCCUGCUACUGUCCACAGCCUCCUGAACUGCUCUGAUGGCUCUCGCUGUCACUGCACUGCUGCUCACAGGUAGGAAAUGUACCAUGGUCAGACUGCAAACAGAAAAACUGCUCCCACCUGGAACCACACGCCUAACACGGAAUGUAAAUCGGCAGAAACCUGCUGCUGGCAGGAGCUGCUGAUUUCCAGCUGUGUGUAAUUCCUCUGCUUUGCUGCCUGUGUGUGUUCACACAGGCAGUGCCCCAAAAUCUGCAAACAUCUCCGUGGGAAGCAAAGAAGGAGCCUGGCUUGUUCCACACUGGAUUCCAGCAGAAGAACACAUCAGCAUUUGGGAAACAUCACUGCCUCCAAAAAGGAGUCCAUGGCCUGGACACAGGACUUUCUCUUCCACUCUCACACUGAAAGGGGGAGAAUGAAGAAACAUUUUAAUCAAUUCACCAGGGUACCUGUCCAUGAACCAACCUGCAUCCUUUGAAACACGUGACUAAAAUGAUUUUUUCCUAAUUGAGAAUGACUUUAACUGGGCUAUAAUCAAAUUUGUAAGUGCACCCUACCAACACAGAUAUAAGUCCUUGAGCCUGGUAGAAAUAAUCUGAUAAGAUUAGGUCCUGCAUAGGAAAAAUCUCUUUGGAUCAUAACCAGAAAACGUUUGGACAAAAGUGAACUGAUCCUUGCCUUGCCUGUUAGCAGAUUAUUUACUGAGCCCGGGGCUUCCUUGUUCUUCUGACGUAAACUUCCUCAGGGUAAAGGCAGGGAAAACAUUUUCCAGGGAAAACGUGUCUGGUGUAAUUCCACAAACAAAGCAGUAAACAGGGACUGCAAAUGCAGGGAGCCACCUCCUGGCAGCUGCGGGGAACGAGGAGCACUCGGCAAGGGCCAAACCUGCCUCUCCCUGCAAAUGUUCAGCUAUAAAACCUGCAUGUGUGUCACGUCAACUGCACCAACAUCAUCUCCUCUGGACAGUUUGGCAACACAGAAUGUGCUGCUGUUCUGCCCAGUACCCAAAUUCUGCGGGAUUAAUGGGAAACCAGAGAUUUAAGGAGUGAGGACUCUCCAAAUUCCUUGACUCUCUCCUUCACAUCCCUGUUAUUUCCUUUCCAGACCCACAGAACUGAACCAGCCUUUCCAGAGACUUCACAUGGUAUUUGAUGGCAGCUUCAUUUCUGCUUUACUCUGUCCUGGCAAAUUCAUUUUAAGAUUUCUCCGCAUCAAAAGGUGGGUUCAGGAAAUUAAAUCUCCCCAGAAAAGGACUCAAAGUCUUCCCAACUGAACUUCCAUUAAUUCCUGCUCGUGUUUAUCAUUUUUGUAGUUGAUGUUUCUGCCCUGAGCACAGCUCUCCACCUUUCCCAGUUCAACACUCUAGAAAUGGCAUUAAUGUGUUUUAUUUCCUCUUGCAUAACUAGGAUCUAACAUUAAGGGUAGCCUGGGCACAGACUUUUCCAAGUAUCCUACUGAAGCCUCCUCUUCCUUACCCUAAUACUGGGAUAAAGGAAAUCUGGAUUUGGAGGCACUGAAUGGUACAAGCAGAAGUUUGCUGGCUAAUUUGGGGGAGACAAGCACAUCAGAGCAAUCCAGCUCCUGCUGCCCUUCCACCCUCACUGCUGCUUGACAGGAUGCACAAAUUCACAGCCUGAAUUCCCAUGUUUUCCCCUUUUCUUGUUCUAGAGUCUCUCUUUACCUGAUAGGCUACUCCCACAAAAACUGGAGUUAUUUAACAUCUCUGAGGGUCUGCAAUCUUGAAUGGCAGAGCAGUUUCAAAACUUUCCAGAGGGAAACAAAUCACAGAUGGCUUACUUCCCUAGGAAGUGAAACUAAAAAUAAACAAGUAUAAAUUC
This is a long non-coding RNA of Oenanthe melanoleuca, 2009 nucleotides long. RefSeq lists it as uncharacterized. The record is from RefSeq and is a predicted model, not a curated record. The transcript is spliced from 3 exons. NCBI's taxonomy places the organism in Eukaryota, Metazoa, Chordata, Aves, Passeriformes, Muscicapidae.